RNAcentral lists this long non-coding RNA (217 nucleotides) under Gallus gallus (chicken). Lineage: Eukaryota; Metazoa; Chordata; Aves; Galliformes; Phasianidae. The record is from RNAcentral.
CUUUUGCCCUCUAACAAGCAAAUGGAAACUGAAGAACAGGAGAUGUAUGGAGGCAGAGGGUAGCAAAAAAUGAAAGAAGUCAACACCGUAAGUCAGUUAACGGGUCCUCAGCUUCUUAGACUGUCUCUUGCGUUUUAGUUCCUCCUCUUCCCGUCUCAAUUCUUCAAGGUCUUCCUGAACACCGAGCCUCAAGCUCCUCGCUUCUUCUUUCUGCUGC